RNAcentral lists this transfer RNA (73 nucleotides) under Chloroflexi bacterium RBG_16_63_12. RNAcentral's name for it is "tRNA-Arg". It matches the Rfam family "tRNA". From Rfam's summary of the family: Transfer RNA (tRNA) molecules are approximately 80 nucleotides in length. The record is from RNAcentral. Lineage: Bacteria; Bacillati; Chloroflexota.
GCCCCGGUAGUUCAAUGGACAGAACGCGGGCCUUCUAAGCCCGAUGCUAGGGGUUCGAAUCCUCUCCGGGGCA